UUUAACAAGACAAAUAGGGUACCGUACUUCGCUUUCUCCUACUCCCCCAAGUGGGAGGAAGUUGGAGGUGGAAGAAGUUGACAAUUAUUAGUAUGCAUUAACCAACCUUGAUGGCAAAAUUCUGAAAUCAUACGUGUUUCUAGGUUACUACUGGCUAGAGGUUAUAUAUUGACAACUAGCUAAAAUAAGCUGUUGGUGUUUCGAUUUCGACCCCUUUUUUUCAUCUGAA
RNAcentral lists this long non-coding RNA (229 nucleotides) under Setaria italica (foxtail millet). RNAcentral describes it as "long non-coding RNA (SITA_LNC001391)". The record is from RNAcentral. Lineage: Eukaryota; Viridiplantae; Streptophyta; Magnoliopsida; Poales; Poaceae.